GACGAACGCUGGCGGCGUGCUUAACACAUGCAAGUCGAACGGAAAGGCCCUGCUUUUGUGGGGUGCUCGAGUGGCGAACGGGUGAGUAACACGUGAGUAACCUGCCCUUGCCUUUGGGAUAACUUCAGGAAACUGGGGCUAAUACCGGAUAGGAGCUCCUGCUGCAUGGUGGGGGUUGGAAAGUUUCGGCGGUUGGGGAUGGACUCGCGGCUUAUCAGCUUGUUGGUGGGGUAGUGGCUUACCAAGGCUUUGACGGGUAGCCGGCCUGAGAGGGUGACCGGCCACAUUGGGACUGAGAUACGGCCCAGACUCCUACGGGAGGCAGCAGUGGGGAAUAUUGCCCAAUGGGCGGAAGCCUGAUGCAGCAACGCCGCGUGCGGGAUGACGGCCUUCGGGUUGUAAACCGCUUUCGCCUGUGACGAAGCGUGAGUGACGGUAAUGGGUAAAGAAGCACCGGCUAACUACGUG
RNAcentral lists this ribosomal RNA (468 nucleotides) under uncultured bacterium. RNAcentral's name for it is "partial 16S ribosomal RNA". It matches the Rfam family "Bacterial small subunit ribosomal RNA", at positions 28 to 507 of the family's 1533-position model. The record is from RNAcentral.